GUUGUUAAGGAACUCGGCAAAAUGACCCCGUAACUUAGGGAUAAGGGGUGCCACCAUCAGGUGGCCGCAGAGAAUAGGCCCAAGCGACUGUUUACCAAAAACAUAGGUUUCUGCUAAGUCGCAAGACGAUGUAUAGGAGCUGACGCCUGCCCGGUGCUGGAAGGUUAAGGGGAUCUGUUAGAGCAAUCGAAGCAGUGAACUUAAGCCCCAGUAAACGGCGGCCGUAACUAUAACGGUCCUAAGGUAGCGAAAUUCCUUGUCGGGUAAGUUCCGACCCGCACGAAAGGCGUAACGAUUUGGGCACUGUCUCAACAACAGACUCGGUGAAAUUGUAAUUCCGGUGAAGAUGCCGGAUACCUGCGACAGGACGGAAAGACCCCAUGGAGCUUUACUGUAGCUUGACAUUGGGUCUUGGUACUACAUGUACAGGAUAGGUGGGAGGCUUUGAAACCAGGACGCCAGUUUUGGCGGAGCCAUCCUUGGGAUACCACCCUUGUAGUACUGGGACUCUAACCAUAGGCCAUGAAUCUGGUCUUGGGACACUGUCAGGUGGGCAGUUUGACUGGGGCGGUCGCCUCCCAAAAGGUAACGGAGGCGCUCAAAGGUUCUCUCAGUACGGUCGGAAAUCGUACGUAGAGUGUAAAGGCAAAAGAGAGCUUGAUUGCAAGACAUACAGGUCGAGCAAGGAUGAAAAUCGGACUUAGUGAUCCGGUGGUUCUGCGUGGAAGGGCCAUCGCUCAACGGAUAAAAGCUACCCUGGGGAUAACAGGCUUAUCUCCCCCAAGAGUCCACAUCGACGGGGAGGUUUGGCACCUCGAUGUCGGCUCAUCACAUCCUGGGGCUGUAGUAGGUCCCAAGGGUUGGGCUGUUCGCCCAUUAAAGUGGUACGCGAGCUGGGUUCAGAACGUCGUGAGACAGUUCGGUCCCUAUCCGUCGCAGGCGUAGGAAAUUUGAGAAGACCUGUCCUUAGUACGAGAGGACCGGGAUGGACGUACCUCUGGUGUACCAGUUGUCCUGCCAAGGGCAUGGCUGGGUAGCUAUGUACGGAAUGGAUAAGCGCUGAAAGCAUCUAAGCGCGAAGCCAACUUCAAGAUAAGAUUUCCCACCGCAAGGGUAAGACCCCAGAAAGACUAUCUGGUUGAUAGGUCGAAGGUGUAAGUGCAGCAAUGUAUUUAGCUUAUCGAUACUAAUAGGUCGAGGACUUGACCAA
Molecule: ribosomal RNA, 1210 nt
Filed under: Clostridioides difficile
Lineage: Bacteria; Bacillati; Bacillota; Clostridia; Peptostreptococcales; Peptostreptococcaceae
Description: bacterial LSU rRNA
Rfam family: Bacterial large subunit ribosomal RNA
Source: RNAcentral